AUUAUUUUGGCAGAUUAGUGCAUUAAAUUUAGAAUUUAAUUAUAUAGAUUAUUCUAUAAAUAAUA
RNAcentral lists this transfer RNA (65 nucleotides) under Aleochara postica. Its description in RNAcentral is "tRNA-Leu". Lineage: Eukaryota; Metazoa; Arthropoda; Insecta; Coleoptera; Staphylinidae. The record is from RNAcentral.